CAACGGCCGGCCCUCCUCUGCCUCUUCAUUUUUUCGGAGACCUACAGCUUCUGUUUUCUAGAGAUUUCCCCCCUUCGACUAUUGUGGAAAUGUUUUGUGCACGCAAGAUCUUCAAUAACAGUUCAAAGCUUGGAUGAAAUUUUAUGUAUAUUAUGAUAGGAAGGUGCUUCAGCGAACUAUUAGGAGGCAGAAACUAAUUUUUUUAAGAUAAUUGAUACCUUCAGUGGCACACUUGGAGUAUGAAAAUGCCUCAUUUGGAUCUAUGCCCCUCCGUUACUGCCCAACAGCUGGUGAAUUUUUUGUUU
Long non-coding RNA from Lolium rigidum, 305 nucleotides. RefSeq lists it as uncharacterized. Lineage: Eukaryota; Viridiplantae; Streptophyta; Magnoliopsida; Poales; Poaceae. The record is from RefSeq and is a predicted model, not a curated record. The transcript has 4 exons.